UCCAGCCGCGCCGCCUGCCCCCCCGGCCGCCGCCGCGCUUCGCCGGUCGCCGUGGCCGCUCGGCCUUUCCCCAGUACGAAGACUGGCAGGAGGGGCUGGCUGUCCCUUUUCGUCCCCUCUGGCCCCACUGACAGAGAUGCCAGGAGUGACAAGGGAAGCCGGGAUGUUUCCUCGCAGCUCCAUUUAAUUCCUUUUGUCAGCUCCUCUUAAGAGAACUGGACAACUAGAUUUGUGAGUGUUCAAAUUUUUUUGUAACAUAAGUCUUUUUUGUCUUUUUUUUUUUCUUUUGUUUUCCUGAGGAGGCUGGGAGGGUAUUAUAAUACAGUAAGGACCAGGAACAGAGUAAAUACUUUGCAUGAAAAUCCUGGCCCUGGGAAGACGAGUGGCAAAACCUUGCUGUACCACUAGAGGUUCAAAUUAGCAGAUAAAAGCAAGAAGUUCAGAGCAAAGGCAACUCAUUUUCUUUAAACUCCUUCCAGUAUCUGUAGUUGUUAGCUGUUCAGACAGCACACGAAGGAGGAUUUCCUCUAGAGAUAAUAAGCAGUGACAUAUCAAGCGUAGAGAGAGAAAAGAACUUUUUUUUCUUUCUAUUUAUUUCCUGACAAAUUAACUCCGAAUCAGUUUGCUAAAAAUUCAUCCGUCAUAAGCAUUUUUAACCCUUUCUGUAGUAACUCUCGGGCCACACUUGCAAGACUGAAAAGAAAAGCUAUUUUUGCUGCAGCAACCAAACUCCUCUGUGCAUAGAGUGAACUGCUCUUCAAAUCCCAGCUUCUGUGCACUCCUCCCUGCCAUUUUUUCUUCCUUUUCAUCUUGAAAUACAAUAUGCCUUUUGGAACUGAGAAGGUGCAGAGAAGGGUAAGCCCCCCUGGAAUUUCAUCUAGCUUCCCCAAUUUCAUUCUAAUUCUUCUGGGUCUCAUUGCUUAAGGAUCAGUGUUUAAGAAGUCUGUUUACAGCUGUUACUGUUUUCCAAAAUGGGUUGGCCCACUGGUGGGUUUUGGCAGUGACCAAGUGAAGAUAAUUGAGCUGAUGCUCUAGCUGGGAAAUUCUUGCUGGAGGUCUGACCGACACU
Molecule: long non-coding RNA, 1069 nt
Filed under: Calidris pugnax (ruff)
Lineage: Eukaryota; Metazoa; Chordata; Aves; Charadriiformes; Scolopacidae
Description: lncRNA (ENSCPUG00000004784.1)
Source: RNAcentral